RNAcentral lists this ribosomal RNA (239 nucleotides) under uncultured bacterium. Its description in RNAcentral is "partial 16S ribosomal RNA". It matches the Rfam family "Bacterial small subunit ribosomal RNA", at positions 15 to 235 of the family's 1533-position model. The record is from RNAcentral.
GAUCCUGGCUCAGGAUGAACGCUAGCGACAGGCUUAACACAUGCAAGUCGAACGGAGCACCCUUGACUGAGGUUUCGGCCAAAUGAUAGGAAUGCUUAGUGGCGGACUGGUGAGUAACGCGUGAGGAACCUGCCUUUCAGAGGGGGACAACAGUUGGAAACGACUGCUAAUACCGCAUGAUGCGUAACUGGGACAUCCCGGAUACGCCAAAGAUUUUAUCGCUGAAAGAUGGCCUCGCG